RNAcentral lists this unclassified non-coding RNA (375 nucleotides) under uncultured bacterium. RNAcentral's name for it is "contains 16S-23S intergenic spacer region". The record is from RNAcentral.
UCUCGGCUUAUCACCGGCAGUCCCCUUAGAGUGCCCAACUGAAUGAUGGCAACUAAGGGCGAGGGUUGCGCUCGUUGCGGGACUUAACCCAACAUCCCACGACACGAGCUGACGACAGCCAUGCACCACCUGUGAACCGGCCCCGAAGGGAAGCCCUGUUUCCAGGGCGGUCCGGCACAUGUCAAGCCCAGGUAAGGUUCUUCGCGUUGCGUCGAAUUAAACCACAUGCUCCGCUGCUUGUGCGGGCCCCCGUCAAUUCCUUUGAGUUUUAACCUUGCGGCCGUACUCCCCAGGCGGGAUGCUUAAUGCGUUAGCUGCGCCACCGACAAGUAAACUUGCCGACGGCUAGCUUCCAUCGUUUACAGCGUGGACUAC